UGGGGAAUAUUGGACAAUGGGCGAAAGCCUGAUCCAGCCAUGCCGCGGGUGUGAAGAAGGUCUUCGGAGUGUAACGCACUUUAAGUUGGGAGGAAGGGCAGUAAGCGAAUACCUUGCUGUUUUGACGUUACCGACAGAAUAAGCACCGGCUAACUCUGUGCCAGCAGCCGCGGUAAUACAGAGGGUGCAAGCGUUAAUCGGAAUUACUGGGCGUAAAGCGCGCGUAGGUGGUUCGUUAAGUUGAAUGUGAAAGCCCCGGGCUCAACCUGGGAACUGCAUCCAAAACUGGCGAGCUAGAGUAGGGCAGAGGGUGGUGGAAUUUCCUGUGUAGCGGUGAAAUGCGUAGAUAUAGGAAGGAACACCAGUGGCGAAGGCGACCACCUGGGCUCAUACUGACACUGAGGUGCGAAAGCGUGGGGAGCAAACAGG
This 429-nucleotide ribosomal RNA is filed under the name Pseudomonadota bacterium. RNAcentral's name for it is "Proteobacteria bacterium partial 16S ribosomal RNA". It matches the Rfam family "Bacterial small subunit ribosomal RNA", at positions 355 to 776 of the family's 1533-position model. The record is from RNAcentral. Lineage: Bacteria; Pseudomonadati; Pseudomonadota.